RNAcentral lists this small RNA (322 nucleotides) under Pongo abelii (Sumatran orangutan). RNAcentral's name for it is "processed transcript". The record is from RNAcentral. Lineage: Eukaryota; Metazoa; Chordata; Mammalia; Primates; Hominidae.
GUGGGCCGGGCCGCCAGUGUCAUCAUUGUUUGACUGCUCCAUGGAGACGAUGCUCCGAGUGCUGCACUGGGGCCAGGUGGAGCACCCGGCAGACGACUCGGAUCUGGCCAUCUGCCAGCGCUUGGACAUGCACUACACCUUGUGUGAGCCGGUCUUGACCUACCAGCAGAAUAACCUGCUCCGAAAUAUACCGGCAGAGGAAGCACCAGAGAACAUCUCUGCCAAGUGCUGCUCUGUCAUUGAGAGUCUGCAGUGAGACAGAGGGGCUGGGGGCAGGCCUUGCCCCUCACCGGAACCCGUGCAGGACGUGGGAAGGAUGCGU